RNAcentral lists this unclassified non-coding RNA (2612 nucleotides) under Polistes canadensis. RNAcentral's name for it is "fatty-acid amide hydrolase 2-A, transcript variant X1". Lineage: Eukaryota; Metazoa; Arthropoda; Insecta; Hymenoptera; Vespidae. The record is from RNAcentral.
UCUGUCUUUUUCUCAGGUUUCUCUCCCUUUUCGACGACAAUAUUCAUCACCCGACGGAUAAAAGUAAAGGAAAUAGUAGUAGAAAGUUGUGAGUUUAGUUGCGAUAACAGUCAUUGAUAACCUGUUGGUUGUAUCGACUGUAUCAACAUUUUGUACUAUUUUUAAACCACCAAAGAGCAUCGCGUGCACAUUUUUAAACGGCUUAGAAUGAAAACAAAAGAGACAGGAUGUUCGUGUGAAAUGGAUGAAAAUUAGAAAGAGAGAGAGAGAGAGUGAGAAAGAGUGAGAGUGAGAGUGAGAAUGAGUAAGUGAGUGAGUGAGUGAGUGAGUGUAAGAGAGAUAAGCAAAGGAAGCGUUGAAAAGAGAAAGAUAAUACGUGGACUGACGUUUCGUUGAUCACUCGUGACCACUUUUAAAUCGCUCAUUAGUUUCUGAUCGUGUUUCUCUGUUUGCUACACAUAGAGACGAAGAUACACAAAAGGGGAUCAUCCAUCCUUUUGAGCAGUGUGUGCUUUGUGUCAAAUUUUCUCUUUACCGGUUUGUUUUCAAGUCACCGAACGGAGGAGGGAUCAGCUAACUAGAACGUUAUUUCCUGUCUUCCGAUCGUUCUCGAAUUUUUGUCGCAUAUUAACGAAGAAAAUUAAGUGAAAUUUUUAGAAACGUUAACGUUUUUUUAUUUCGUGAGUAUCGCAUUUCAAAUUCAUUACUGCCCCGCCUCUCUUUUUUUUUUUCGAUCAUCCCUAUUUCCACUCCUACAAUUUCGUUUUCAUCAUUUUUUGAAAUGUAUUUGUUAUAUAAAUAACGAUAAGAAAAUAAUAUUUCUGAGUAUUAUAUUGAAUGGCAUUAAUCAAAUUUUGGAUAAGCCCAACACGUAAAUGGCGUUUGCAUAAUACUCGACACUAUUAUCGACGUUACUUUAAAGAAUAAUGGCGAGCAAAAAUAAAAACCAAAGGAAAAGUAGUCCACGAGGACAAAUAUUUUAUUUAAUUCAUCGUUUAAUCGAAUUCAUUGCCAAAUGUAUAUUUUCAUUAGCAGCUUAUAUUCGUGGGCCAAAAGAAGGUCAACCACCUAUAAACGAUUUAACACUUUUACACAGUGCAACUACGUUAGCUUUUAAAAUUAGAAAUAAACAAUUAACUUCCGAGCAAGUAGUAAAGUCGUACAUUGAGAGAAUACAAGAGAUUCAACCAGUAUUAAAUUGUGUAGCUGAAGAUCGUUUUGAGGAAGCUCUCUUAGAAGCUAAAAAAUACGACGAAAUGUUAGAAUCUCCUAAUGCACCAUCUGCGAAAGUUCUUGCCAAAGAAAAACCUUUCCUAGGUGUUCCAUUUUCAACCAAGGAUUGUAUUGCUAUAAAAAAUAUGAAACAAACGGCUGGUCUGGUUUUACGAAAAAAUAUUGUCUCAGAGAAAGAUGCAGAAGUAAUAAGAUUGAUGAAAGAAGCUGGAGCUAUUCCAUUAGCAACAACGAAUGUUUCAGAAAUUGCUAUGUGGUGGGAAACCCAUAAUUGUUUAUACGGUACCACGAAGAAUCCGUACAACACUAGACAUAUAGUAGGUGGUUCUUCCGGGGGUGAGGGCUGCAUACAAGCAGCUGCCGGUUCACCAUUAGGAAUAGGAUCUGAUAUUGGCGGCUCUAUUCGCAUGCCAUGCUUUUUCAAUGGAAUUUUUGGUCAUAAACCUUCCAAAGGUAUUGUUUCUACUGAUGGUCAAUAUCCAAGUCCACACAACGAAGAUCAAAACCAAUUACUCGGGAUAGGCCCAAUGUGCAGAUUUGCACAGGAUAUGAAACCUGUUCUUAAAAUAAUAGCUGAUAAAAAUGCGGAAAAAUUGAAUUUAGAUGACAAAGUUGAUGUUUCGAAACUCAAAUUUUAUUACAUGGAGGAUGACGGAGGACAAUAUUUUGUAUCGCCUGUAAGCGAGGAAAUAAAAUGUGCUAUGAGAAAAGUGCUUCUUCAUUUUGAGAAAGUGUAUAAAAUAAAACCUACGAAGUUACAAGUACGAAAAUUAAAAAAAAGCGCUAAUCUGUGGUUCGCAAACAUGACAUCAAAAGGCGAUAAAGAUUUUUCCUACGAAUUGUCUAACAGGAGCGGACGUAUUAAUAUUUGGUGGGAAUUUACAAAGUGGUUAAUGUUCCUAAGCAAUCAUACGUUCAUUGCUCUAGUAACAGUAGCAUUUGAGAGGUUAGGUAUAAGACAUGGGAGUGAGCAAUACACAAAACUUAUACAAGAAAGUAGAGACCUUUACCAAGAAUUUCAGGAUCGGACUUCUUCUCUUGACUGUUUUGCAAUGUAUUUGCAAUGAAAAUAGCCAGAUAUGAUUUGUUCUUGCCAUAGAAUCAUGGAUCGUAUGUGAUCAUUUCUUAAUGGACAUGAUUUUUAUUUCCUCACGAGUCCAACGUAAAUCUGACGUGGAUAAAGCAAUAUUUCUAUGGAUAUUUUGGGAGAAGACGGUGUUUUCUUGUAUCCAACUCAUCCAACGGCAGCGCCGUUACAUCAUGAACCACUUAUAAAACCAUUUAAUUUUUCAUACACUGCAAUUAUUAAUGUCUUGGGUUUACCAGCCACCGCUUGUCCAUUAGGAUUAAACAAGGAAGGAAUUCCAAUUGGCAUACAG